This is an RNA transcript of Cucumis melo (muskmelon), 2027 nucleotides long. It is a transcript of the gene named cyclic nucleotide-gated ion channel 1-like, with no coding region annotated. The transcript is spliced from 7 exons. Lineage: Eukaryota; Viridiplantae; Streptophyta; Magnoliopsida; Cucurbitales; Cucurbitaceae. The record is from RefSeq and is a predicted model, not a curated record.
AUUUCAUUUCAAAUUUCAAAAAACAACUUCCCUUCGCAGCUUCUCUCUCAUUUCUAAAUUUCUUCAUCUUUCUUCUCAACGGCAACUAUCUCCCUCCUCUUCCCCCUCUCUCCGCCUCCCCUUCUCUCUCGAUCUCUUGUCUCCUUCGUCUUCCUCAGAAUCUUCACUCUUCCUUUCUCUCAAUUUCUAUUCUCUAAAAUGAAGCAUCCACCCAAGAAACCCUAUCUUGCUAAAUACCCAUCUCGCCGAUCCACUGCCAUUUUCUAUUCCAUGCGCUAACGGCGCCGGAAUCAAGGGCGGAAGACCCCUCGGAAGCCUAUGUCGUCUUCCAAAGAAAAUGCUUCACCGUCAGAUCCCAAAUUCCCAACUCCAUGGUUCCCGAUUCCAAACCCUCGCCGACUAAGUUGAAGAGCCUGCUCCAUCUUCUAACCCACUUAAGCGGAAGCUCAGUAUGGAGACCGUUCCUGAGAAUUCCAUCCCUGGGUUGUCUGAUUCUGUUGUUAAGAUUAGAGAAGAUGUAAAAUCUGGUGUAGAAAAUUUAACAGAGGAGUGUGUAUCCACAAUGGCAGCCGUUACUCGGCUUCUAAUGAAGUCGAUUAUGGUGGCUCACUUUGGAAACUUGUUACAUAGCUACUGCCAAAAGCUUUAAAUUGCCUUCCGGAUGCACCUCAAAAUCAGCUUCAUUCUUUGUGUUUUCUAAUUUCUAGCUCACUCAAUUCAGCCAUGGAUGUACGGAGAUAUUCCAAAUUUUAUAAUGCAAAACCUGAUGAAGCCGAUGAUGGUGUUUGCACAAGAGCUUGGAGAUUCUUUUUAUCUUACUUCACAAUUGACGUUCUUUCAGUUCUUCCACUCCCCCAGCCAUGCAGGGUUUACAGAAAGAUUUGAACUUUUCAUUUGUGGUCGUGAGCUGGCCAAUGCAUUUUUCGAAUUGAUCGAUCGUAUUUAUCAGGUAAGAGGUGAUUAUAUCAAUCAUUAAUGUUAGAAGGGUGCACAGAUGAUGAAACUUUUUAGCCAAUUUCAUGGCAUUUGAAAGAGAGAAAGUACAUUAGUAUUGAACUCAAGUUAAACUGGAUAGUCUAUCACCUUUUGGAAGAUAACUUUCCUGUACUUUGUUCCAUCUUGUAUAGACCCUUUCAGUCGAAAGGUUACCAAAGGAAUCGUUUUUGUUAUGUGUUAUGUGCUUAACUCCAUAACAAUGUGCGUCCAAGCUCUACAUGAGCAUUCUAUUCUUCUUGCUUGGUAUACUUGUGCAUUAUUGGUUUAUGUGCCAUGUCAAGAAAUAAUAGUUUCUAUUGGAACGUUUUAGUGUUCCGGUUCCAUGAUAAUUGGAAUGGUUGUAAUGAUCUUUUUCUUUUAAAACAAACAAAAUUGGCACAGAGGAUGAUUAGAAGACCAGAUCAGGCAACACAAUGAGAAGCAUGGCUCAGCUGUUUCUUAUGUAUCUCGUUUCUUAUGUAAUGACUCUUUGGACUUCAAUUGCCAAAAAGAUGAGGAUGAUUCUUAUGAAGUGACACUUGAUGAUGAUUUUCUUACUGCUUUGGAAUAUGGAAUGCCACCAGCUUCUGGACUGAUGUAGGCUGGAAAAGGAGGUGAGCUAACAUUGAAUAGAAGAACCAUAACAAGAGGGGCACUGGAUUCAUUGAGAAAUGGGCGAGAGAUUCCAUGGCUCCCAUUUCUUUAACUUUUGCAAUCGAUAGUAAUGUCGAUCUUGACAGGAAUGUUGGAAUGAAGAUUUAGGAAUUAAUUCCUCUUUCUUAGAAGAAUCUAAAUCUAUACAAAGGUCUUCUUUUUUGUUUCCAAUCAUCUGAGGUAAUCUUGUAGGUUCUUUAAUUCUUGGUGGAAAUUCUAGACUACCUGAGGUAAUUUUUGCUUUCUUAAUAGUUUUUGUUGCAUGUUUUCAUGCCAUUCUUGAAAAUCUUGAGGUUGUUCUUGAUUGUUCCCAUGUUUGGUUUAGGUUUGUUUUGAACACCUUUUAGGUUUGUUUGAGACUCAAUUUGUUGCAUCUACACACUUAAUUGCUAUUUUGG